Unclassified non-coding RNA from Myotis lucifugus (little brown bat), 75 nucleotides. The record is from Ensembl. NCBI's taxonomy places the organism in Eukaryota, Metazoa, Chordata, Mammalia, Chiroptera, Vespertilionidae.
UAGAGGCGGCGGAGACAGGAAGGAAGCCAAGACUGCGGAGUCAGGAGGCGGGAGGGGAAACCCACCCCAGCGACU